AACGAACGCUGGCGGCAGGCUUAACACAUGCAAGUCGAGCGCCCCGCCAGGGCAUCGGCAGACUGGUGAGGAACGCGAGGGAACGUACCUAUUGGUUUAAAACAACUCCGGGAAACUGGAACCAAUACCGGACAAGCCCUAACAGGGGAAGGUUGAUCGCCGAAAGAUCGGGCCGCUUCUGAUUAGCGAGUGGGUGGGGUGACGGCUCGCCAAAGCAACGUGCAGUAGCUGUUGUGAGAGGCUGAUAAGCCACGCUGGGACUGAGACACGGCCCCGACUCCUACGGGAGGGAGCAGUGGGGAAUAUUGGACGAUGGGCGCAAGCCUGAUCCAGCCAUGCCGGGUGAGUGAUGAAGGCCUUAGGGUUGUAAAGCUCUUUUGCCCGGGAAGAUAAUGACUGUACCGGAAGAAUAAGCCCCGGCUAACUUCGUG
This 431-nucleotide ribosomal RNA is filed under the name uncultured bacterium. Its description in RNAcentral is "partial 16S ribosomal RNA". It matches the Rfam family "Bacterial small subunit ribosomal RNA", at positions 29 to 507 of the family's 1533-position model. The record is from RNAcentral.